GGGAAGGACCGCUUCGAAACAAUAUCCGAAAGAGACGGGAGGCACGUUGCAUCGUUUAACCGACAGUCAUCCAAUGAUUAUUUAGAGCCAGAUACACGCAUGUGUGCGCCAUCCAACGAAAAUCGUACGAAAGUCGUAUGAAAAUCGUGAAUCAAUUUCUAGAUCAUUGAUGCAUACUGGAUUUAAUUGAACUUGAAAAAUUCUUGGAUCGAUGAACGAAUGGAAAAUUUGUUUUUUCGAAAGGCCGUGGUAUAUUAUUUUCAAAGUUAUCCGUUACGUAUCACGAAUUUGCAUGAGCGAAAGAAUAGUCCGACAGGGAAUCUUCUCUGAUGACUAUAAACGUUGAUUCACAUUCACGAAGAGAAGAGAAGAGAAUUGUUUGUGAAAUUAAUUUGUGAGAUGGUCAUACAUCUAUUUUAGUCCCGAGUCACAUGGAAGAGUAAACAUAUACGUUGUAUACGUCGCGUAUACGUGUAUACUUCGAGCUCGAGAGGAUUGGAACGACUCGAGAAAAAUCUUGCGAAUAAUUUAUUUAUAAAUUUUACGUGAAAAUCGUUGAUCUCGGUCUCGAGGAAAAUAAAGAGAUAAUUAUUAACGACGGAAGACGAAUAAAAAGAGAUCGUACACAAUUUUCUUGCGUUCGAGUGUUAAACGAGAAGCGUCGGACUGCGAUCGUUUAAAGCCUGACUUAUAUAUCAGCGAAAGCAUAGUCGGACCAUCUCCAUUCAACGAGUACUGGCAAUUAGAGGCAAUAGUUGCCGACCCUUUCUCCCAAAGGUCUUGUCUCGAGGUGUUGAAUUUCUUGGUAUCUCAUCGAUCGAAGUUCGUUCCAGUCAUAUCAUGACGGAAUAUUAUCUAAAAACUCUUUCGAUCUCCUAUCCCGUGUCUCUUAAAUUUUGCCAAAAGAAUUGGUAAAAAAAAGUUUGCAACAAGAAUCGUACGAUUUUCUCGCCGCUUGUUUUUAAAUCCUCUUUCAAAAAUUGUUCCACUCCUUAUAUUCGCUUCUCGAUCGAAAGUGUUGCAUAUAAUGGAGAUUGUCGUUAUCCUAACGAUAAGAAAUCAGUCGAGUCCAAACAGGAGAUCUCGUUUCGUGGAUACGGUACUGCACGAUCUCUGGCGUGGCGGGUCCAGCAAUGACGCGGAGAUCACCGAGCGUGUCCGAAUUCGGCCGAUGUUAAUCGAGUGGGAGUUGAACGUACCGCGUGGUGGGGGUAACGCGUCUUCUUCGAAGGGGAAUUCCCCGAUGCUGGUGCGGUGCGGUGACCACACCGUGUCCCUUUUUGUUGCCGCCCAUUAGGCGCCACCGCGGCGUGAUUCGCAACCGUGUUUCUUUAUCUUUGCCGUAGCUAGACUCUGCAAACGUAACCGAUUGCACGCGUUCUUUCCUAUCUUUCCACCCUGUCUUUUUUCCGUCCUUCCUCCCUUCGGACAAUAGCAGAGUGAUUCACCGGGCGUAGGUACGAUGUUUCUCUGUAUAUACGCGCGGAGAUAAGUCGCCGCGUGCCACGUUUCGAGUUCCGCCUCUCCCCACGCGUUACGAUCGUGUUUCGACUUUUGAAUUGUAGAUAAAAAUAUGGGAACUGUUCCGAGAAGUAUUUAGGCAAAAACUUGGGAAGGAAUUCGCCCUUACGACGAAGCGAAGAAUAUCGUUAUAAAGAUAUUUCCGUCUCUUAUCGUAAGAAUUUAUUUCCGAAAAAUAUACCUUUCCCCGUUGCUUAAAGUUUAUAACGCGGGUCUCUUUUUUUUUUUUGAACGAUACUUUGAGAAUUAUCUCGGUUAUCACGUCUUGAAGAUUGAUAUCUUUUAACCGAGUACUAUCAUUGUCCUCGAAAGCUUUUAUCUCGAGUUAUAAAUUAAUCGACAACGAUAGGAAUAAUAAACGUCCGACGCGAACGUUUUUUUCCCGUUUGGUUCGCCCCGAUCGAAGAUAAUCUCUUUUUUCUUUUUUAUUCGAUAUUUUUUUCACCGCGCCAUGGGAUCACAUAGAUUUUUCAUCUUUUAUGGACGGGAAUGCGGAGACAAUGUGACUACGCGGGGCAGAUUAACUGGAUAGAAAAGCCGGUCCACGGUUUAUUCGCUCAUUCGCGGGGAACAUCGGUCAAUCGUGUUUUACCAAAGAUUGCUUUCUUUUUAUCCAGACAACACGUGCCUCUGCGCUACCAUCUUUCACGGAUGACUGAUGCGUUGGCUCGCCUCCUCGCUUUUUAGCUCGCGCAUCGAUGAGUUCAUUGCGACGGAUUGAAUUCUCUAUGAUUCAUAACGCGCAAGAUGAUCGCGAAUUUUAACGAUCUCGAAAUAAUAUACCGAUUCAAAGUUAACUUUUAUUAAAAUAUAUCGUGUCAUAUCACGUUGACGUAAUAAAGAUUUCAAUUAAGCAUCGAAAAAUCAUAAAACGAUCGUUCUCUUUUCUUCUCGAUACUGGUAUUUCGAAAAAGGUGACUUUGGUCGUUAUAUCGUGAGAUCGAUGUUCUUUAUCGUUUCUCUCGGAAAACGUAAUGUUUUUCUCUCUGACCCGCUCAAAUUUCAUCGUAUCUUACAACCUUUAGCCCGGCCACCUAUACAAAACCUAACAUAAAUGCCAAGGUUCGACAAUUUGUCAGAACGAAUGGAGACUAGUGGUUGCAUAUACGUAUACUUGUGUAUAGGGUGAUUCAUAUGACUGUUUACGAAGCAUGCAUGCUCAAUCUUGAAACCACAAGAAAUAUAAAAGAUUAGUUUCAAGAUUAGCAAUAUAUAUAUACGUAUGUAUAUAUAACUUGGAGAAUAGAUAAUUAAAAUAGAUUCUUCCCUGUUCAAAUUUGUUUCGAUAAUUCUUAUCAUUAUCCUCCAAAGAUUAUUAAACUAAAUCCCACAUACGAUUUGCAAAAUAUAUCUUUCAAAAUUUUCCAUGUUUCCCCAGUACUUUAACUUUGCGUUUAUAUUUUAUACGAUGAAAACAACGAAAAAUUAUACAUUCCUCUAGAAAUAACGAUAUGUUCAAAGGUAAUUUUAGGAAUUAUUUUUCGAUCGAUUCGUAUCAAUUGCAAUCUCACAUGUACAACGUAUUCACCGAAAGCUCGUGACGCGCGAUGGUUCUCCACAUCCUGUCGCUGGUGUAAGUCGAAAGGGCCACAGUUACAAUCCUAUCGGGGAUGGAAAUCUCAUAUUACGUGGAUCACCCUGUAUAUAGAUAUAGAGACAUAGAGAAACUCGGCCGGAUCUGUAAAACUGAAGGCUCGUGGACAAAAACCUGACCUCUCGAACAACUGUGCACCAUGUGUGCGCCACUUGUGCGCCUCUCUUCUCCCAUUCUCUUUCCCUCCAACGAUCCCACUCUCUCGCGUUCUCUCUUCAUUUCGUCCCUCGCCUGCCACUUCUCUCUUUUCGACCCGCUUCCACGAGCUUCCCGAUCGCGAUUAAUCAGGUAUACAUACGGCGAAAAACUGGAAUGGAAUCCACGGAGUCUCGUUCUAUACUUUUGUUCCUUCCUCGUCGUCACGAAAAUAAGAGGCGUUCUCGAGAGGAACAGAAUCGCCGCUUUGUACCUUAUCUCCUCGUUUUCAUCUUCCUCCUCUUUGUUUUUCUUCCUUUUCUCUCCUACUCACUUUAGACAAACUUCUUUCUUCUUCGAUCACUUUUUCUUAGCUUUUGGAUAAUUAAUCAUCGCAAUGCAAUAACUAUCCUCGUAUUCGAUGAUAAAAAUAACAUCAAUGAUUACCGCGCUUUAUUCGAAAAUUGCGAUAUGUGUCAUAUUAUAUUAUUAGGAAUCAGAACGUAACGAUACAUCGAACGCAAUUUUACUAUCAGAAAGAAAUCAGAAACGAGCACACUGUGGACGAAUACGCGUUAUCGUGGCGAUAUAACAAGGGUAGCCAACGUUUUUAAUACACGUCAUGGAUAAGUCACGACUAGUAUGUCCGAGCACGAACAAAGUUAAGCGUGUAAUGUAGCAGGGGCAAGCGUGUAAAUAUUUGUUACGUUCUGAUUUCUGUAAGAACGUCGCUUGCAGAGUAAGAUAGGCACGAGUACUGUUCCCCUUCUAUUUUACCGAUCGGUGAUACAUUUUUGAACGAAUGCAAAUACGUUUCUUCUCUUUCGGCAUAUCGUCGAAAAAGUAACUGAUUAAAAAUAAAGUAAUAAUUAGUUUUGCUCUUCGCAUAACCUCACUUGUUCGAUGUUAUCUUCGGUUAUUGGAAUAGAAAUUCUGUGCACGGGAUUAUACGUGUAUGAUAAAUGAAAAAUAUAGUUUUAAAAAAUUGUGUAAAAGUGUGUUAUUCCAACAAAAUUCCUUUUGCUAUUAAAUUUGAGAGAAUAAACGAGUUUUAACGGAGUCUCGGGUGCAACUCGAAGCUCGGCUGAGUGUAAUCAGAUCGGUUUUCAUAAAGUAGCCUUUUCGUAGCAACACGCAGCCGCGUGUCCAGGUUACUCUGUGUAACCUGUCAGCCCAUAAAGAGCGACAUAUUAACAGCUCGACCUCUGUUCACGCCUCGGGACUGCGUUCUCUUGGUUUUAUUUCGACCGCGCAGGACUUUGACAUUCCACGCUUUCUCGGUUAUGAUCGGUUUCUCCCACGAUGCGACAAAAAUUUUCUCGAUGAAAAUAGCAAGGAAGCUUAUCGAUGCGAGAUUUGAAUAUAAUUUAAUCGCGAUUGCUCGAGUUUGAGAUGCUUUGUUGCGACAUUUUAAAUUUAUUUCGCUACGAUAAUUCAUUUUCGAAAGUUAAAUCAAUCUAAUCUGAAAAUUUUCUGAAAAUUUCUCAAUUUACACGACGCUAUCGAUAAAUUAUUAGUCGACGAACGGAAAGAAACGUAAAAUUUUUUGACGAUCUUUGAAAUUAAUCUUUGUAGUAUUUAAGAAAAAAACAACGAAUCGAAAAGUUGCAAAAUUAUAAUUAACAGGGAGUAAAGAGUAUGUUAUGUCGAAAGAAGGAGCAGCAAGGAGUAAGCUGGAAACUUUACUACCUGUAUUUCGGAGAAGAGCUCUCCUGUGUGAGAAGAGAGGGGCAAACUCUGAUCAGCACCGUGUCGAGCAGAAUGUCGCAGGGAAGGAAGGUGGGACAGCGCAAGCUCGGUAUUCCCCUCUCUCUCUCCCUCUCGAGACAAAAAGUAGAAAAGUGUAUUCGCGCAGUUUACCUAUAGCUCGACGCGGCAGUGACGAUGGUCGCCAUAUGGGCGACAGCCCGGGGGCCCACCAAGAGCCGCGCACCUUCCUCUCUUUUCUCUUUUCCCUUUGGGUGCCCCUGAUGCGGGCCAGAUUUCAUGCACCGCGUAUGUGCGCGCAAAAGAGCCGCCGCCACCGCGAGUCCCCUUAGGCGGAACGAUUCUGCAAAAACGUGGCGGCGACGCGAGAUCGUGCGCGUGACUCAUCGAUAAAUUCGACUAGCGCGGCCAGUUCCCACGAGGAAAUCUCGCUCUCCCACCUAGCCGCGUGUCUCCUCUUCGGGCGUCGUUGUCCCCGUUUUUCCCGCGCGACGAGAAAAAUUCGAUCGGAUAAUGGCGUAUUUUAUGUACGAGGAGGUUAGGAGAAUCUGUCGAUUAAGUGAGGUUAUCUUUACACGUAGGAAAACAAAUUGGGUCAGACGCAAUUACGUUCGUGCAUGAGUGAAAGGCAAAAGAGAUAAAGUCGAGGUAAAAGUUGGAGAUUCGUAUUCGUAUUAAAAAAGUAAUUUAUCGUGAGCAAAAGGUAUAGAAAUUUAAGGAUAAAAUGGGGAAUGAGAUGGUAACCGCGUGUUCGAAAUCUGCGUGUCGAGAGGAGGAUUUUACGAUUGAACGAGGUGCGAAGUGACCAUAAAUCCGUCCAUUAGCCUUGUUGCAAUGGACACAUGGGUUGUGUUUUAUCGCGUUGGACGGGUCCCCGUCGCAAAAUAGAUUUUUCGCCGAUACGUGACGAAUCGCGGCUACGCGUAUCGCGAUAAACCUGGAUUUCCUCGUGACGCGCUCUAUCGCUUUUCCUCCGGUAAUUUUAUCGUAUUUCCUCCCACGUAGCAUCCAUCGAUACGUCCCACAACCGGUUGGAACAUCGAUAUUUCUAUAUUUUAUUAUCGUAAUUAGUAUUUUUCGUACUUAUUUAUCUAAUUUCACCAGCUUGUCGAUAUUUGUUGUACAGAGAUUAAUAUUUAUUAAUUAACACCUCGUUCAAUCGGAUUGUUUUUAUCCAAUUUUUAACAACUUUGUUUCAAAUAUAUGUUUAACGAAUGUUCAAAAUUUCUAGUUUGAAUUUUAAUGGCCCGACAUGCACGAUUUUCAACAUCAGGACGACACGUGUCUCAGGUGUGCGGCGGGCACAGCACGUUUCGUGUAAUGAAAUGCGAACGCGUGCAUGUGCAUCCGUGAGCAAACUGCUGUUUAUAGUGAAUGAUUUGCGCUUGCACGCUCGGUCGAAAGAUAGAUUUGACAAAUAUUUCAUAGGUUGUUUCUCGGUGAACCCUCUGAUUUUUCGACCGGUCACGUUUGUCGAGUCAACUGUGAUAAUAAAUCGUGCGAUCGAUUUAUCGCGAAUAUGCAUUCAAGUAAAAUAUUGUUUCGAUCAUUUCGACAGUGAUGCACACGAGCAAACUUUGCAUUAUUUGCAAUUUUCGAAAUUAACUAAACGUUCACAGCAUUUUUAUAUUCGUUCACGAUAAAGAUUUUAAAAAGUGCAAUUUAUCUCGUUUUGAUAAAUAUUUUAUUAUAAUUAACUCGUAACCAGCACGAUGAAGAUUUUAAAUUUUUAUUUUUCUAUCUGCGUUGAGCGUCUUAUUUUAUUAUAUUAAUAUUUUGCAAAAUAAAUUCCAUUGAAAUAUGCAAAAAUAUAGUUAUUUUUUGAACGGAGAUUGUGAGUUAUAUUCUUUUCCCAAGCAAAAUUUGUUUGAUAUCAAAUUCUUUUUUCUUGAAUUCUAUUUCUAUAAAAACUUUCAAAGUUUAGACUGCAAAGUUCAUUUUUCAUUUCCCAGAUAUAAUUUUUUUAAAAGUUUAGAAUAAUUCUUGCGUCGAAAAAUAUUCAGAGACGGAGACUCCGUAAUUCAAAUGUUCGAAGAAUUUAUUGCUUCUAAAAAAACUUUUUUGAAAAGAAUAUUUUUUCGUUUCAAAGUCGAAAAUAAUUUUCGAAAAAAAUCAAAAGCCAUCUCGUAUUUUUCUUUUUUGCUUUAAUAAUUAUAAAAUGUUUGAUGCAACAAGAGGCAUGAUAUCGUAAAAGAUUUAAAUCGAUACAAUCCGAUACGAAUAUCGGAAGUGAAACUCUUUGGAAAAAUUUCUCGACACUGAGAAAUAAUUGAACUUUCGUUCUUUCCAUUUUUUCCAACAAUUUUUUAAAACUCAUCGAAAUAUGGCGUAAAAUAAAAACGAAAAGAAAAGCAAAAGAAGCGAUUAAAAAUCAUCGAUCGUGCUUACUUCUGGAUUUUCCAGUCGUGAAAUCGGUUGUGCCGGCGAAUCGGCAAACAAAAGGUUAAAGGGAUUGCGGUUACGCGUUCUGGGAAGGUGCGCGCUGCAAAAUGCAGCCACGGUGUCGAUGGAUAUUGGAUAUGGACGAUGGGGUAGCUACGACGUGCACGAGCUGUGGGGUAGCAAAGCUAAGCCAGUAAUGCAAUAACUUGAAUAGAUGGCUAUGCAGGCGGAAAGAACAUAACCUAUCCACCCCUCCUAGCCACCCCCUCUCUCUCUCAACCCUCGAAACUUCCAUUCCUGCUUCAUCCCCUUACGCGGGGGCCUCUCCGUUCCCUAAACACGUACGAAUCGGCGCACGUACGUAGCGGCCGGACUGUGCCAGGAGGGUGAAUCCAGGGGUGGUUUCAACCCUGCCUCCAAGUACCCCGAAUACAGUCGGUUACGUUAAAAGGCUUUUAAUAUGCACGCUCGACGUCGGAAUCGAAUCCUCGAUCGCGGAAAACGUGGGAGUAUAAACAAAUUUUCCCGACCUGAUCCCUUUUUUGGUCAAGUAGAAUUGAUUUUAUUCGUUUAACGAGGCGAUACGGUUCCUAUUGCUCGAUAAUGAUUAUAUUCGUUCGAUCCAAAAAGGUUAUUAACUCGUAAAAUAGGUAAUGAUUAAUAUCGCAAAAGAUGGAACAGGGAGCGAGAGAAAAGAAGGAUGAGAAAAAAGUCGCGAUCAAGAGUCAUAUUCCGACACACAUUCGGCUGUUUACGGUCACGUGAGAUCGAAGGCGAGUCGGGCGAAGGAAGGAAAGAAGGGGUCUGGACGCGACUGCGGGCGCAGGAGCGGAGAGGGUGAAAUUCACGUAGGCGCGUAUGGAAGGGAUGGACGGAGCAUGCUCAGACGCACAUAUUACGGCGCACGUCAGUAUUUAAACACGCUUGAUGGGAAGGUGGUGCACGAGGGUGAAAUCGGGAUCCCAUUGUGCUCAGGUGUGAGGCGUGUGCGCGCAAGGGGGUGGACGGAGAGGCUGCUGGGGAGGGGAGGGGAGGGGCGGGGGAGGGUAGAUUUGCACACGCGGCACGAGCCGCUUUCACAAAGGGAUGGAACAGAUUGGAAGCCAUUCAUUCAUUCGGUUGCCCUGUAUUUUUUCCCCGUGUUUGACUGGGAGAGCAUCGUCGACCACCCUCCUCUUCGCCGCUUCUCCUCUCUCUUCGCCUUUCCCUUCUCUCUGUCGCAUUCUGUGCCUACAGAGAAAAAUUAUGGAAUAUUUGAAUUCGUACGUGUCAGACGGGAAUGGUAACAAACGAUGUUUUAGAGAUAGAUCUUACGGAGAACGAAAUUUUGAGUUGACGAUUCGAUCAAGCGUUCGAGAAUAAAGAUUUAGAGGAUGGACCUCCGGUAAGAGGAAAUGUGAUCUUUGAUUUGAUUGGAAAGAUUAAGAUUUUAUUUUAAUGGAGAGAGAAAUAGUAUUUUUAAAAGAUCGCGUAAAAUUAAUUUAAAAGAUGGAUUAUUAAAGGAAAUGAAUUAACCCGGACGUUUAAAAUUUGUUGAUUUUUCGUUACGAAUUUUUAAUUCCGACUCUUAGUUUUUCCCAAUUCACAGAAUAAUGGAUUUCCGCGAUAUUAUAAAUACGCACGACAAUGAAUCCGUGCAAGUCUUGGUCGGACUCACCAUUGGCUCGUGUUUGACCUCACGAAAAUCAAUAUCUGUCGGGAAACUUAAGUGCGUUACAGGGGGUUUAUCUUUUGAUAUUUCGUAUCUGAAACGAAUACACGAAUUUCUUUCGCCAUUCCUAUAUUUUUCUCCCAUCGUUGAAUGCGUGCUUUCGCUCGAGAAGAGUUAUCGAUCGAUUUAUCACCUUCGUUUUAAUUCUUUCGAAUGAAAAAGAAUUUUAAAUUUUACAAGGAGCAAAGGAAGACGCGUUUAUUUGUUUUAUUUUACGCUUAUUUAAGUUUCUUUGCUAUAUUUAAUUUUUAAUUGAAUAAUCUUUCGUUACAUUAAUUGAAAUAUUUACGAAAAUAUAAAUGGUGUAAUUUUAAAUUAAUUUAAAUUAAUUUAACAAAUUUUUUAAAUAAACAUGUGUAAAAUAUGUGUAAAAUAAUGUAAAAAAGAAAUAAAUAAAUAAAUAAAGUACAAUUUUUUUUAACAUUA
Molecule: long non-coding RNA, 9476 nt
Organism: Apis cerana (Asiatic honeybee)
Lineage: Eukaryota; Metazoa; Arthropoda; Insecta; Hymenoptera; Apidae
Source: RefSeq, a predicted model, not a curated record